UGUGUGUGUGUGUGUGUGUGUGUGUGUGUGUGUGUUGGGUUGUCUAGGCACUCACACGGAAAGAAGUCAAAAGGGGAAUGAGUAUGUUAAAGGUUAGUAAAAGUGCGUUGAGUUGGAUGUUAAAGAGGAAUGAGUCUAAGGUGAAGAGUGAAGGAGAAUGAGUGUAUAAGGUAAGGAGCAAUGAAUAAUGUAUUGAGGUAAAGAGUGAAGGAGAAUGUAUUAAGGUAAGGAGUGAAGGAGAAUGUAUUAAGGUAAGGAGUGAAGGAGAAUGUAUUAAGGUAAGGAGUGAAGGAGAAUGUAUUAAGGUAAGGAGUGAAGGAGAAUGUAUUAAGGUAAGGAGUGAAGGAGAAUGUAUUAAGGUAAGGAGUGAAGGAGAAUGUAUUAAGGUAAGGAGUGAAGGAGAAUGUAUUAAGGUAAGGAGUGAAGGAGAAUGUAUUAAGGUAAGGAGUGAAGGAGAAUGUAUUAAGGUAAGGAGUGAAGGAAAAUGAGUAUAUUAAAGUAAGAAAUAAUGGAGAAUGAGUCUAUUAGGUAAAGAGUAAAGGAGAAUGAGUGUAUUUAGGUAAGGAGUAAUGGAGAAUGAGUCUAUUAAGAAAGGUAGAUGUGUGUUGAAUUGUCCACACACUUACAAUGAAAGAAGUCGAUGGAGAAUGAGAUUAUUAGGUUAAGUAUCCGUGUAACAUGGUAUAAUUAGCAUAUCAUUAGGCCACUAUUGAAAUGCUGCUUACGAGGGAUUAAUUAACAUAUCAAGGAAUAAUUAAGCGGAAAGCAGGCAAAGGAGAAUUAGUAUAGCGUCAAGCAUCUGGGCAACGCGGUAUUAUUUAGCAUAUCAUUAGGCGCCAACAGUUCAUCUCAAGUCCAUAUUCUCAUCUAAACAUUUCGGGGCUUCCUUACAGACCCACAUUUGGUAGAGUUUUCGUAGAGGUUGUUGUGUUAGUACCUCCGCGGGCAGGUAGUUUUAUGAGCCAAGGUUUCUUCAACACAGGAAUGCGAGAAACACUAAUGAGAACCCGAUCAAUCUUCUCUGUGGCCUUUGGAAAUAACUGUUGUGAGAUCCGAACGUGUCUGAGCAUACUGGCCACACAUACAAGUCACAGGUAACGAACAACAAAAGAACAUCAACACGGGGCGGUAUGCAGCACCCCAGCGCCUGCCAACCCUCGCGGCCUGAGCCAAUCCGCGGAGGCGUCAAGGGUGUCUGCGUAACGGUGUGGAUGACAACUUAUCACACGCCCCCGUUGUUUAGGAAGAGGAGGAGGUGGAGGGUUAAAAGGAGGAGGAGGAAAUGUGGAGCAGAAGGGGAGGAGGAGGUGAUGGCGGAGAAGGAAGAGGCAAAAUGAAGAGUAGAAGAAGAGGAA
This is a long non-coding RNA of Eriocheir sinensis (Chinese mitten crab), 1355 nucleotides long. RefSeq lists it as uncharacterized. The record is from RefSeq and is a predicted model, not a curated record. Lineage: Eukaryota; Metazoa; Arthropoda; Malacostraca; Decapoda; Varunidae. The transcript has 3 exons.